Oppia nitens is the source of this 219-nucleotide small nucleolar RNA. RefSeq annotates it as small nucleolar RNA U3. The record is from RefSeq and is a predicted model, not a curated record. NCBI's taxonomy places the organism in Eukaryota, Metazoa, Arthropoda, Arachnida, Sarcoptiformes, Oppiidae. The transcript has a single exon.
AAGAUCAUACUUCACAGAAUCAUUUCUAUAGUAUGUUUCCUUAGCUUCACAUCCAAUAUGUGAAGUCAGCCUUAACUGCGAUGACGAGUGAAUGGCAUACCUGUCUGAGCGUGAUAUCGACCCAACGCUGACCACUAGUGGUCCGGCUGUUGUGGUCGUUGAUGACCGUUCCCUAACUUAACAUAAGCUAAGGGAGGACAGGUAUGCGUUCUGAGCAGU